This 229-nucleotide ribosomal RNA is filed under the name uncultured bacterium. RNAcentral describes it as "partial 16S ribosomal RNA". It matches the Rfam family "Bacterial small subunit ribosomal RNA", at positions 524 to 732 of the family's 1533-position model. The record is from RNAcentral.
UACGUAGGGUGCAAGCGUUGUCCGGAAUUAUUUGGGUCGGUAAAGAGCUCGGUAGGUCGGUCUGUCGGCGAUCUGCCGUGUCGAAAACUCAGGGCUUAACCCGUGAGCUUGCAGUGGGUACGGGCAGACGUAGAGGUGCGGGAGGGGAGACGUGGAAUUCCGUGGGUGAUAGCGGUGAAAUUGCGCAGAAUAUCAGGAGGAACACCGGUGGCCGAAGGCGGGUCUCUGG